Molecule: ribosomal RNA, 253 nt
Filed under: uncultured bacterium
Lineage: Bacteria
Description: partial 16S ribosomal RNA
Rfam family: Bacterial small subunit ribosomal RNA
Source: RNAcentral
UACGUAGGGUGCGAGCGUUAAUCGGAAUUACUGGGCGUAAAGCGCACGUAGGCGGAUCGUUAAGUCGGGGGUGAAAUCCUGGAGCUCAACUCCAGAACUGCCUUCGAUACUGGCGAUCUUGAGUCCGGAAGAGGUGAGUGGAACUCCUAGUGUAGAGGUGGAAUUCGUAGAUAUUAGGAAGAACACCAGUGGCGAAGGCGGCUCACUGGUCCGGUACUGACGCUGAGGUGCGAAAGCAUGGGGAGCGAACAGG